Mustela erminea (ermine) is the source of this 768-nucleotide long non-coding RNA. RefSeq lists it as uncharacterized. NCBI's taxonomy places the organism in Eukaryota, Metazoa, Chordata, Mammalia, Carnivora, Mustelidae. The record is from RefSeq and is a predicted model, not a curated record. The transcript is spliced from 3 exons.
ACCAACAAACAAGAAAGCUUGGAAGCAGGUUCUUCGGCCCCGGUCAAACCUCGACCGUAGCCCCAGGCGAUAGCUUAAAGGUAACCUCAGGAGAGACCUGAGAGCCAGAACAAGCCCUUGAAGAUGCUUCUGGAUUCCCCACCCACAGAAACUGUACAUAAUAAAUGGGUUUGCUUUAAGCUGAUAAGUGUGAAGGUCAAGAUAAUUGCCACGUCCUGGGGACACUCAGGCAGCCCUGUGGGAGAAGCAACUUGCUUUCCACCACGUGAGAGAGCCACCUUGUGUCCUCUGGCUUCAGUCAAGCCUUCAAUGAUUCCAUCCCUCCCACCUUGAUGUGGUCCUGCUGAAGUCCCACGCAUUGCCGGGCAGAGACUAGCCAAGCCAACGGUGCCCUCUCCAAAUUCCUGAGCCACAGAAACCAUGAGACAGGCUCAUCCUCUUUGUCUCCCACAUCCCUCCAGCAGCUUCUUCCAAGAAGAUACAGAUGCAAGCGAGCCUAGUCCCCAGUAAUGGAAGCAAGUGGAGAAAGGAAGCAUUUGAGGUGUGUUGAAGCAUAGGCUCAGAAACAGAGUGCUGUCCCUCCUGCCACAUGCUACUGGCCAAAUUACGUCACAAGCACAAUUCAGAGUCAACAGCUAGAGAAACAGACUCUGCCUCUUCAUGGAGGAAUGACAACUUCUAGCCAUUUUGCAAAUACUCCAGCAAAGAUCACACCAUCAAAGAAGAGAAGAUCACCUCCCCUCUCCUUCUUUUUCACUUAAAAAUAAA